Molecule: ribosomal RNA, 492 nt
Filed under: uncultured bacterium
Lineage: Bacteria
Description: partial 16S ribosomal RNA
Rfam family: Bacterial small subunit ribosomal RNA
Source: RNAcentral
AGUGAACGCUGGCGGUAGGCCUAACACAUGCAAGUCGAACGGCAGCACAGUAAGAGCUUGCUCUUACUGGUGGCGAGUGGCGGACGGGUGAGGAAUACAUCGGAAUCUACUUUUUCGUGGGGGAUAACGUAGGGAAACUUACGCCAAUACCGCAUACGACCUACGUGUGAAAGCACGGGAUCUUCGGACCUUGCGCGAUUGAAUGAGCCGAUGUCGGAUUAGCUAGUUGGCGGGGUAAAGGCCCACCAAGGCGACGAUCCGUAGCUGGUCUGAGAGGAUGAUCAGCCACACUGGAACUGAGACACGGUCCAGACUCCUACGGGAGGCAGCAGUGGGGAAUAUUGGACAAUGGGCGCAAGCCUGAUCCAGCCAUACCGCGUGGGUGAAGAAGGCCUUCGGGUUGUAAAGCCCUUUUGUUGGGAAAGAAAAGCAGCAGGUUAAUACCCCGCUGUUCUGACGGUACCCAAAGAAUAAGCACCGGCUAACUUCGUG